UACAGAGGUCCCAAGCGUUGUUCGGAUUCACUGGGCGUAAAGGGCGCGUAGGCGGCCUUCUAAGUCGAACGUGAAAUCCCCGGGCUCAACCCGGGAACUGCGUCCGAUACUGGAAGGCUUGAAUCCGGGAGAGGGAUGUGGAAUUCCAGGUGUAGCGGUGAAAUGCGUAGAUAUCAGGAGGAACACCGGUGGCGAAGGCGGUUCUCUGGGCAUGUCCUGACGCUGAGGAGCGAAAGUGUGGGGAGCGAACAGG
RNAcentral lists this ribosomal RNA (253 nucleotides) under uncultured bacterium. Its description in RNAcentral is "partial 16S ribosomal RNA". It matches the Rfam family "Bacterial small subunit ribosomal RNA", at positions 524 to 776 of the family's 1533-position model. The record is from RNAcentral.